AUGAGGCAUGUUAAGCGUGUUGCUUUUGAAGGCACUAUAACAGGAAGGAGUUUCUAUGGCUGCCCAGUCCAGGCAAAUUGUGUGAAUUGUGGUGUUGUAGAGUGGGUUGAUGGGCCUUGGCCUCCAGUUCUUCAGAGAUGUUUGUCCAAGCUAUGGGAAAUGUUCCAUGAGCAGAACUGUGGAAGGGUACUUGACAAGGAUAAGUUUGAGAAGGAGUUGGCCAAGCUUAAGAUGGAAAAUGACAAGCUUUGCAUUGAGUACACCAAGCUUGUUGAUGAUGUAUCCAAGAUGUUUGAUUGGCAGGAUAGUAGGGUGGACAAGAAGGUGUACCACAAACAAGUGGAGGAGGAAGAACUUGAGAAGAAGAAGGAGCUAGAGGAGAAAGCUAUGUUGGAGGUGCAGAUAGAAAAGCUUAAACUUGCAAAAGAGCAGAGGUGCAUUUUGCAGAGCCAAGCUGAUAUCAUCAAGAACACCAGGAAGGCUAUGAAGGAUGUUGAAGUUGACAGAGAUGUUCUUAAGAAGGAGAAGGAAAAGCUUGAGCAAGUUGUUGCUGAGCUGCUGAAAGAUGGGUAUGGCAGCAAGGAGAAGUUAGGGCAAAUCAAGGCCAUCCUUGAGUCAUGA
Molecule: ribosomal RNA, 621 nt
Filed under: Triticum aestivum (bread wheat)
Lineage: Eukaryota; Viridiplantae; Streptophyta; Magnoliopsida; Poales; Poaceae
Description: partial small subunit ribosomal RNA
Source: RNAcentral